RNAcentral lists this ribosomal RNA (253 nucleotides) under uncultured bacterium. RNAcentral describes it as "partial 16S ribosomal RNA". It matches the Rfam family "Bacterial small subunit ribosomal RNA", at positions 524 to 776 of the family's 1533-position model. The record is from RNAcentral.
GACGAACCGUGCGAACGUUGUUCGGAAUUACUGGGCGUAAAGGGCGCGUAGGCGGCUCAUCAAGUCGGGCGUAAAAUCUCCGGGCUUAACCUGGAAAAGUCGUUCGAUACUGUUGGGCUAGAGUGUGGAAGAGGCUACUGGAAUUCCGUGUGUAGCGGUGAAAUGCGUAGAUAUGCGGAGGAACACCGAUGGCGAAGGCAAUCCCCUGGGCCUGCACUGACGCUCAUGCACGAAAGCGUGGGGAGCAAACAGG